CCUUUAAGUUUGAUUCUGGCUCAGGACGAACGCGGGCGGCGUGCCUAAUACAUGCAAGUCGAGCGGACCGACGGGAGCUUGCUCCCUUAGGUCAGCGGCGGACGGGUGAGUAACACGUGGGUAACCUGCCUGUAAGACUGGGAUAACUCCGGGAAACCGGGGCUAAUACCGGAUGCUUGAUUGAACCGCAUGGUUCAAUCAUAAAAGGUGGCUUUUAGCUACCACUUACAGAUGGACCCGCGGCGCAUUAGCUAGUUGGUGAGGUAACGGCUCACCAAGGCGACGAUGCGUAGCCGACCUGAGAGGGUGAUCGGCCACACUGGGACUGAGACACGGCCCAGACUCCUACGGGAGGCAGCAGUAGGGAAUCUUCCGCAAUGGACGAAAGUCUGACGGAGCAACGCCGCGUGAGUGAUGAAGGUUUUCGGAUCGUAAAACUCUGUUGUUAGGGAAGAACAAGUACCGUUCGAAUAGGGCGGUACCUUGACGGUACCUAACCAGAAAGCCACGGCUAACUACGUGCCAGCAGCCGCGGUAAUACGUAGGUGGCAAGCGUUGUCCGGAAUUAUUGGGCGUAAAGCGCGCGCAGGCGGUUUCUUAAGUCUGAUGUGAAAGCCCCCGGCUCAACCGGGGAGGGUCAUUGGAAACUGGGGAACUUGAGUGCAGAAGAGGAGAGUGGAAUUCCACGUGUAGCGGUGAAAUGCGUAGAGAUGUGGAGGAACACCAGUGGCGAAGGCGACUCUCUGGUCUGUAACUGACGCUGAGGCGCGAAAGCGUGGGGAGCGAACAGGAUUAGAUACCCUGGUAGUCCACGCCGUAAACGAUGAGUGCUAAGUGUUAGAGGGUUUCCGCCCUUUAGUGCUGCAGCAAACGCAUUAAGCACUCCCCCCUGG
RNAcentral lists this ribosomal RNA (893 nucleotides) under Bacillus licheniformis. RNAcentral describes it as "bacterial SSU rRNA". It matches the Rfam family "Bacterial small subunit ribosomal RNA", at positions 9 to 873 of the family's 1533-position model. The record is from RNAcentral. Lineage: Bacteria; Bacillati; Bacillota; Bacilli; Caryophanales; Bacillaceae.